GGGGAGGGGCGUCUGGGCAGGUGGCCACGACUCCCUCUCAUUCUUCUGUUUCACAGCAGGCGGCGCAGGUACCUGUGUCCAGCCGGGGCGACAUAUCUUUGGGGCAGGAGGCCCUGGAGGUCCGUCUCGCGGGAGCCUCGUUGGUGGUGGGGUCGCCGGAGGUGCUAGGCAGGCGUCAGGGGCAGGUGGCCCCUGACCCUCUAGUACCGACGGCGGUCCUGCAGGUGGAGCGCACGGCUGCCACGGCGUCGGCUGGGGGGGUCGGACUAGGGCAGGAGGCCCUGGUGCCAACUCCGUCAGGCAUCUCCACAUCUCCUACGCGGUCCCCCUCUCCCAGACCUACUCCGGGAGCCGCUACUCGGGAGGAGGUGAUCGCGUUCGGAGGGAUCCGAGACCCUGCUUCCGAGGGGAGGCGGACGAGCUCUCGUCUCCAGGACCUUCCGGAGGUUGAUGAUUUGCAGCAGAGGUGCGCUAUGCGGGCGGCCAAGCUGCGUGAUGUGGAGAGCACAACAGGUA
Molecule: ribosomal RNA, 516 nt
Filed under: Triticum aestivum (bread wheat)
Lineage: Eukaryota; Viridiplantae; Streptophyta; Magnoliopsida; Poales; Poaceae
Description: partial small subunit ribosomal RNA
Source: RNAcentral